This 187-nucleotide non-coding RNA is filed under the name Enterococcus pallens ATCC BAA-351. Its description in RNAcentral is "Enterococcus sRNA 2410". It matches the Rfam family "Enterococcus sRNA 2410". Rfam says of the family: Produced as 2 transcripts on Northern blot. The record is from Rfam by way of RNAcentral. Lineage: Bacteria; Bacillati; Bacillota; Bacilli; Lactobacillales; Enterococcaceae.
UUAGCUAUUUUAGAUAAUGUUUGUAUUCAUCACUGGAUGCAAACAGGGCAAAACGCAAGUUUGUAUCUAUGAUGGCUAGAGCAAUUUCACGUACCACCAGCCACGUAGAGGAAAUACUAAGUGGCUGAGGAUAAGAAAAUGAUUAUCUCGUAUGUACAAUCAUCCACUUAGCAUUCUGAGUGGGUGA